CGUCUAGGCGGCAGCCUAAGUCCUAUGUGAAAGCUCCCGGCUCAACUGGGAGAGGGCAUGGGAGACUGGGCGGCUAGAGACUCGGAGGGGGGUGUGGAAUUCCCGGUGGAGUGGUGGAAUGCGUUGAGAUCGGGAGGAACACCAGUAGCGAAGGCGGCACCCUGGCCGAGUUCUGACGCUGAAGCGCGAGAGCGUGGGGAGCGAACG
This 207-nucleotide ribosomal RNA is filed under the name uncultured bacterium. RNAcentral describes it as "partial 16S ribosomal RNA". It matches the Rfam family "Bacterial small subunit ribosomal RNA", at positions 568 to 774 of the family's 1533-position model. The record is from RNAcentral.